Molecule: long non-coding RNA, 837 nt
Filed under: Fukomys damarensis (Damara mole-rat)
Lineage: Eukaryota; Metazoa; Chordata; Mammalia; Rodentia; Bathyergidae
Description: lncRNA (ENSFDAG00000027796.1)
Source: RNAcentral
GAGAAAAGAGGAUGCAGAACAGGGUCCUGACUGUGUGGAGGACGAGGUUCUACAGUUAAACCCUUUAAGGCUGGAACAGGCUGUAUGGGGACAGAUUCUGGGCUCAGCUCUCUUUGAUUAGUCCUUCUUGAUUGGGAGUGUCUCCUUCAGGGUCAUAUCACCUCUGGGACACAGACUGACGAACUAAGAGACCUCAUCACACUAGGAACCUCCCUUGCCAGGGAUGCUGAAUGACUCGGGGGUGGCAAAGGCUUCGAGGAGCUUCGGUGCAAAUAUAAUAUCUGCAGUGUCUGCCCCACACAGCCAGUUGUUGAAUGGCAUUGGUGGGCGUGAUUGCUCCCUCCUCUGAAUUCUGCUGCGCCUUUGCCAUGUCUUCUGAGCUGCUGUUCACAUGUGCCGGGAUUGUGCAAAGGCUCUGUGUGCAUGCAUUCCUUGUGUGAUCCCGACUGCCGAGCCGAGGAUCCUGUUCGCUGAGACGAGAGAGCGAAACCAACCCAAGACCAUCAUCGACAUCGAAGUCGCGGCUCGACCCUGCGAAGCCGAGGACCAGACUACAACCACCAGGUCGUAUGCCCUCAUCGAGAGCAUGCUAGGACUUAUGGUUUUUCUAGAGAUAUUAUGGGCUGGCAUUACUUCUAUAUUGCGCUGGCAAUUGUAGUUGUAUCCUUUGUGUGGGCUUGUUUCUGUAUUACUGAUGAGAGUAAAAGCAUUUAUGAAAACGAAACUGAAUUGGCAAUCAUUGAUGAACUGACCCGUGAUCCCGAAUCACAAAUCGGUGCUCGCGACAGGAUUGAACUCAGGACCUUGCACUUGUGAGACAGUCACAGCACCACUGAG